UACGGAAGGCCCGAGCGUUAAUCGGAAUCACUGGGCUUAAAGGGUGCGCAGGCGGACAGGAAGGCAUCUCGUGAAAUCCCCCGGCUCAACCGGGGAACUGCGGGGUGAACCACCUGUCUUGAGGAAGGUAGGGGUCAGUGGAACCAUGGGUGGAGCGGUGAAAUGCGUAGAUAUCCAUGGGAACGCCUAUGGCGAAGGCAACUGACUGGGCCUUUCCUGACGCUCAGGCACGAAAGCGUGGGGAGCAAACGGG
RNAcentral lists this unclassified non-coding RNA (253 nucleotides) under uncultured Phycisphaeraceae bacterium. RNAcentral's name for it is "contains 16S-23S intergenic spacer region". It matches the Rfam family "Bacterial small subunit ribosomal RNA", at positions 524 to 776 of the family's 1533-position model. Lineage: Bacteria; Pseudomonadati; Planctomycetota; Phycisphaerae; Phycisphaerales; Phycisphaeraceae. The record is from RNAcentral.